Molecule: long non-coding RNA, 495 nt
Filed under: Physcomitrium patens
Lineage: Eukaryota; Viridiplantae; Streptophyta; Bryopsida; Funariales; Funariaceae
Description: long non-coding RNA (PPAT_LNC009435)
Source: RNAcentral
GUUCCUGUUUGGAUUUACUUAAUUUGCCUAAACUAACGGGGAAAGAAAUGUAACUCUUGAAGGUUUCUACUCGCCAACAAUCUGAUUACAAGAAAAAUUCCAUAAAGUUCUGCUCGAUUUUAGAAAAAAAACGAUACUGGCACAUCUUUUUCUUGUUCCGUGUGGCAGCCUUCUUGACAUUCUUCUUCUUCGUCUUCUUCUUCUUCAUUUUCUUUUACUUACUUUUUUUAGUGAGUGUAAGUCCCAUUUAUAUUAUAUUGAUACUUGAGUUGAACAACGAUUGCAACAUUGACAAUGCCACAAGUUUCCAGGGGCUUAUCUGCAUCCUACUAAUGAAGGGUGUGUUAUUGGGAUGGGAAUGGCUUACAGUGUAUGUGUAGUGAAUGCGCCAAGGUAUUGAGAUUCCAAACCAAUCGCUGCCCCGUUUGUCGUACCCCAGUGGAGAAAUUGUUAGAAAUAAAAGUGCCCAAGAGAGGUUCUGAGCUCGGUGGCGCU